UACGUAGGGUGCAAGCGUUGUUCGGAAUUAUUGGGCGUAAAGAGCUCGUAGGCGGUUUGUCGCGUCGAAUGUGAAAACCCGGGGCUCAACCCCGGGCCUGCAUUCGAUACGGGCAGACUAGAGUUCGGUAGGGGAGUCUGGAAUUCCUGGUGUAGCGGUGAAAUGCGCAGAUAUCGGGAGGAACACCGGUGGCGAAGGCGGCGAUCUGGGUCGAUACUGACGCUGAGGUGCGAAAGCGUGGGGAGCAAACAGG
This 253-nucleotide ribosomal RNA is filed under the name uncultured bacterium. RNAcentral describes it as "partial 16S ribosomal RNA". It matches the Rfam family "Bacterial small subunit ribosomal RNA", at positions 524 to 776 of the family's 1533-position model. The record is from RNAcentral.